Long non-coding RNA from Cloeon dipterum, 461 nucleotides. RefSeq lists it as uncharacterized. The transcript is spliced from 3 exons. The record is from RefSeq and is a predicted model, not a curated record. Lineage: Eukaryota; Metazoa; Arthropoda; Insecta; Ephemeroptera; Baetidae.
AAUUUUGCUCUUUAGCGGUAUGGAUCUGCAAGAUUUUGAAAGGAGUGGCGACAUUUUGGAGGAUGAGCUGAAUUUGUAUAUUGGAGGACAUUUUUACGAUUGCUCUUUCAAAGUUGGCGCGACUAACCCUGAGGUUAUCAAAUGUCACAGAUUGAUCCUCGCAAGAGCUAGCGUAUACUUUGAAAAAAUGUUCAUGAGCUCGUUUGAAGAAUCUUUUAGAAACAAAGACGAUCCUAUUGUAAUUACAAGCACUUCCCCAGAUGUUUUUGAUGCAGCAAUGAGGUUCAUAUACGGCAAUGCCAAAGAAUUCAAGACUAUUGGAUUGGCUUGUGAGGUUUACAAAUUGGCUCACCUUUGGAACAUGAAAAGUUUAAUGGAUGCUACUGCAGAACAUUUAAAAAACGUCAGACUCCACGAUGUUCUUCAAGUAUAUGAAAUGAGAAAUAUCAUGGACACAGAAA